RNAcentral lists this ribosomal RNA (301 nucleotides) under uncultured bacterium. RNAcentral's name for it is "partial 16S ribosomal RNA". It matches the Rfam family "Bacterial small subunit ribosomal RNA", at positions 509 to 807 of the family's 1533-position model. The record is from RNAcentral.
CAGUAGCCGCGGUAAUACGAAGGGGGCUAGCGUUGCUCGGAAUUACUGGGCGUAAAGGGCGCGUAGGCGGACAGUUCAGUCGGGGGUGAAAGCCCGGGGCUCAACCUCGGAAUUGCCUUCGAUACUGGCUGUCUUGAGUAUGAGAGAGGUGGGUGGAACUCCGAGUGUAGAGGUGAAAUUCGUAGAUAUUCGGAAGAACACCAGUGGCGAAGGCGACACACUGGCUCAUUACUGACGCUGAGGCGCGAAAGCGUGGGGAGCAAACAGGAUUAGAUACCCCCGUAGUCCCUGUCUCUUAUAC